GAUGAACGCUGGCGGCGUGCUUAACACAUGCAAGUCGAACGAGAAGUGGAGACGGAAACCUUCGGGCGGAAGACUUUAUUUCGAGUGGCGGACGGGUGAGUAACGCGUGGGUAACCUGCCUCAUACAGGGGGAUAACAGUUGGAAACGACUGUUAAUACCGCAUAAGACCACAGCACCGCAUGGUGCGGGGGUAAAAACUCCGGUGGUAUGAGAUGGACCCGCGUUCGAUUAGCCAGUUGGGGGGGUAACGGCCCACCAAAGCGACGAUCGAUAGCCGAUCUGAGAGGAUGACCGGCCACAUUGGGACUGAGACACGGCCCAAACUCCUACGGGAGGCAGCAGUGGGGAAUAUUGCACACUGGGGGAAACCCUGAUGCAGCGACGCCGCGUGAGUGAAGAAGUAUUUCGGUAUGUAAAGCUCUAUCAGCAGGGAAGAAAAUGACGGUACCUGAGUAAGAAGCCCCGGCUAACUACGUG
This 478-nucleotide ribosomal RNA is filed under the name uncultured bacterium. RNAcentral describes it as "partial 16S ribosomal RNA". It matches the Rfam family "Bacterial small subunit ribosomal RNA", at positions 28 to 507 of the family's 1533-position model. The record is from RNAcentral.